Molecule: ribosomal RNA, 460 nt
Filed under: uncultured bacterium
Lineage: Bacteria
Description: SSU rRNA
Rfam family: Bacterial small subunit ribosomal RNA
Source: RNAcentral
AGAAUCAACGCUGGCGGCGUGCCUAACACAUGCAAGUCGCACGAGAAAGGGACUUCGGUCCUGAGUAAAGUGGCGCACGGGUGAGUAACACGUGAAUCAUCUACCUCCGAAUGGGGAAUAACUGAGAGAAAUCUUAGCUAAUACCGCAUAAUACCUACGGGUCAAAGCAGCAAUGCGUUUGGAGAGGAGUUCGCGGUCGAUUAGUUAGUUGGCGGGGUAAUGGCCCACCAAGACGAUGAUCGAUAUCCGGCCUGAGAGGGCGCACGGACACACCUGGAACUGAAACACGGUCCAGACUCCUACGGGAGGCAGCAGUGGGGAAUUUUGCGCAAUGGGGGAAACCCUGACGCAGCAACGCCGCGUGGAGGAUGAAAUAUCUUGGUAUGUAAACUCCUUUCGAUGGGAAGAUAAUGACGGUACCCAUAGAAGAAGCCCCGGCUAACUUCGUGCCAGCAACCGC